Molecule: transfer RNA, 69 nt
Filed under: Ixodes rubicundus
Lineage: Eukaryota; Metazoa; Arthropoda; Arachnida; Ixodida; Ixodidae
Description: tRNA-Phe
Source: RNAcentral
AUUCUUAUAGUUUAUAUAUAAAAAUAUUACACUGAAAAUGUAAAGAAAUUUUUUUAAUUUUUAAGAAUA